GCCCGAGUGGUGGAAUAGGCAGACGCAAGGGACUUAAAAUCCCUCGGUAGAAAUACCGUGCCGGUUCAAGUCCGGCCUCGGGCACCA
This 87-nucleotide transfer RNA is filed under the name Clostridiales bacterium. RNAcentral describes it as "tRNA-Leu". It matches the Rfam family "tRNA". From Rfam's summary of the family: Transfer RNA (tRNA) molecules are approximately 80 nucleotides in length. Their secondary structure includes four short double-helical elements and three loops (D, anti-codon, and T loops). Further hydrogen bonds mediate the characteristic L-shaped molecular structure. tRNAs have two regions of fundamental functional importance: the anti-codon, which is responsible for specific mRNA codon recognition, and the 3' end, to which the tRNAs corresponding amino acid is attached (by aminoacyl-tRNA synthetases). tRNAs cope with the degeneracy of the genetic code in two manners: having more than one tRNA (with a specific anti-codon) for a particular amino acid; and 'wobble' base-pairing, i.e. permitting non-standard base-pairing at the 3rd anti-codon position. RNAcentral also lists the same sequence under 2 other names. Lineage: Bacteria; Bacillati; Bacillota; Clostridia; Eubacteriales. The record is from RNAcentral.